CUACGGGUGGCAGCAGUUGGGAAUAUUGGACAAUGGGCGAAAGCCUGAUCCAGCCAUGCCGCGUGUGUGAAGAAGGCCUUCGGGUUGUAAAGCACUUUCAGUGGGGAAGAAAGCCUUGGGGCUAAUACCCUCGAGGAAGGACAUCACCCACAGAAGAAGCACCGGCUAACUCCGUGCCAGCAGCCGCGGUAAUACGGAGGGUGCGAGCGUUAAUCGGAAUUACUGGGCGUAAAGCGCGCGUAGGCGGUCUGAUAAGCCGGUUGUGAAAGCCCCGGGCUCAACCUGGGAACGGCAUCCGGAACUGUCAGGCUAGAGUGCAGGAGAGGAAGGUAGAAUUCCCGGUGUAGCGGUGAAAUGCGUAGAGAUCGGGAGGAAUACCAGUGGCGAAGGCGGCCUUCUGGACUGACACUGACGCUGAGGUGCGAAAGCGUGGGUAGCAAACAGGAUUAGAUACCCGAGUAGUC
This 464-nucleotide ribosomal RNA is filed under the name Vreelandella stevensii. RNAcentral's name for it is "partial 16S ribosomal RNA". It matches the Rfam family "Bacterial small subunit ribosomal RNA", at positions 339 to 795 of the family's 1533-position model. Lineage: Bacteria; Pseudomonadati; Pseudomonadota; Gammaproteobacteria; Oceanospirillales; Halomonadaceae. The record is from RNAcentral.